RNAcentral lists this ribosomal RNA (251 nucleotides) under uncultured prokaryote. RNAcentral's name for it is "partial 16S rRNA". It matches the Rfam family "Bacterial small subunit ribosomal RNA", at positions 525 to 775 of the family's 1533-position model. The record is from RNAcentral.
ACGGGGGGUGCGAGCGUUGUCCGGAAUUAUUAGGCUUAAAGGGUAGGUAGGCGGAUCUAUAAGUUUAAGGUUUAAUUUUUCGGCUCAACCGGAAAAAUGCAGUUGAUACUGUAUAGCUUGAAUAUGGUUGCUGUGAGCGGAAUGUGUAGUGUAGCGGUGAAAUGCUUAGAUAUUACACAGAAUAUCGAUUGCGAAGGCAACUCACAAAGCCAUUAUUGACGCUGAGGCACGAAAGUGUGGGUAUCAAACAG